This is a non-coding RNA of Chlorocebus sabaeus (green monkey), 4280 nucleotides long. Lineage: Eukaryota; Metazoa; Chordata; Mammalia; Primates; Cercopithecidae. The record is from RefSeq and is a predicted model, not a curated record.
UUCCUUGUUUGCAUUUCUCCUCCCGGCCACGUGGCGGCCAGUGCAGCCACUCACCGCCCGAUCCCAGACACCCCGGCUGUUGCGGCCUCCUGCACACACCUCGGGGCGGCUCCUGCCCCCUGGGGAUGCUCGGCUCAGGCGGAUGUCCACUGUACGUACCCGCGGGUGCGGACUCCAAAGCCUGCCGGUGCCCGCCCCCUUCCCCUACGUUCUCCUCUACCGUAAGGCAGGGCGCCUCCUCCCCGCCCCCUCCGCCAGUCAAGGGGAGGGGAAGGGGGCGGGCAGCGCAGGGGGUGUGACAGCUCCCGCCCGGACCGGAGCCAGCGCAGCCUUGCUUCAGCGCCCGGUGCCAGCUGGCUUCUUCGUCUGGGACGAAGGCGGAGGCUCGGGGCUCCUUGUCGCCGGUGGCUGGGUGGCGUCCCCCCACCAAGCCCCCACCCCUCUACUCACCCAAGAGGAGCCUCUCCACCAAGCCCUGCAUCCUGCUGCCCUGGCAGCCGGUCCAGCUAGGCACUGGCCCCGUUCGCUGUACCUGGACUUAUCCACCGGCUUCCUCCUGAUUCCCUUAUCAAAGCUGAUGGGGGUCGCUGGGGACCGCCCAGCCUUUUGUUAGAGCCUGCACGGCUGUGCGAGCUUCAAAAGAAACAUGAAGCUCCUGGCAGGGCUGCAGCACCUCCGCCUGACCAGUCCAGAGGACUCUAAGGAAGUAGUUCUGCCUGGGGCAGUUGAACUGUGGUCCAGCUGCUCCACUCCCGUCCCAUGGCUGUCCGCUUUCCUCCCUGUGUCACAGGUGGGCUGGCCAGGUGAGAGCUGCUGGCAGGUGGGCCUGGCUGUGGAGGAUAGCCCAGCUCUGGGAGCACCGCGGGUGGGACCCCUCCCUGACGUGGUGCCAGAGGGGACCCUACUCAACAUGGUGUUGAGGAAGAUGCACCGGCCCCGAAGCUGCUCCUACCAGCUGCUGCUGGAGCACCAGCGUCCGAGCUGCAUCCAGGGGCUGCGCUGGACACCACUCACCAACAGCGAGGAGUCCCUGGAUUUCAGCGAGAGCCUGGAGCAGGCCUCCACAGAGCGGGUGCUCAGGGCUGGGAGGCAGCUGCAUCGGCAACUGCUGGCCACCUGCCCAAACCUCAUCCGAGACCGGAAGUACCACCUUAGGCUCUAUCGGCAGUGCUGCUCUGGCCGGGAGCUGGUGGAUGGGAUCUUGGCCCUGGGACUUGGGGUCCAUUCCCGGAGCCAAGCUGUGGGAAUCUGCCAGGUGCUGCUGGAUGAAGGUGCCCUCUGCCAUGUGAAACACGACUGGGCCUUCCAGGACCGAGAUGCCCAAUUCUACCGGUUCCCCGGGCCCGAGCCCGAGCCCGUGGGAGCUCAUGAGAUAGAGGAGGAGUUGGCUGAAGCUGUGGCCCUGCUCUCCCAGCGGGGGCCUGACGCCCUGCUCACUGUGGCACUUCGAAAGCCCCCAGGUCAGCGCACGGAUGAAGAGCUGGACCUCAUCUUUGAGGAGCUGCUGCACAUCAAGGCUGUAGCCCACCUCUCCAACUCGGUGAAGCGAGAAUUAGCGGCUGUUCUGCUCUUUGAACCACACAGCAAGGCAGGGACCGUGUUGUUCAGCCAGGGGGACAAGGGCACUUCAUGGUACAUUAUCUGGAAGGGAUCUGUCAACGUGGUGACCCAUGGCAAGGGGCUGGUGACCACCCUGCAUGAGGGAGAUGACUUUGGACAGCUGGCUCUGGUGAAUGAUGCACCCCGGGCAGCCACCAUCAUCCUGCGAGAAGACAACUGUCAUUUCCUGCGUGUGGACAAGCAGGACUUCAACCGUAUCAUCAAGGAUGUGGAGGCAAAGACCAUGCGGCUGGAAGAACAUGGCAAAGUGGUGCUGGUGCUGGAGAGAGCCUCUCAGGGCACCGGCCCAUCUCGACCCCCAACCCCAGGCAGGAACCGGUAUACAGUGAUGUCUGGUACCCCAGAGAAGAUCCUAGAGCUCCUGUUGGAGGCCAUGGGACCAGAUUCCAGUGCUCAUGACCCAACAGAGACAUUCCUCAGCGACUUCCUCCUGACCCACAGGGUCUUCAUGCCCAGCGCCCAACUCUGUGCCGCCCUUCUGCACCACUUCCAUGCGGAGCCUGCGGGUGGCAGUGAGCAGGAGCGCAGCACCUACAUCUGCAACAAGAGGCAGCAGAUCCUGCGGCUGGUCAGCCAGUGGGUGGCCCUGUAUGGCUCCAUGCUCCACACUGACCCUGUGGCUACCAGCUUCCUCCAGAAACUCUCGGACCUGGUGGGCAGGGACGCCCGACUCAGCAACCUGCUGAGGGAGCAGUGGCCAGAGAGGCGGCGACACCACAGGUUGGAGAACGGCUGUGGGAAUGCAUCUCCUCAGAUGAAGGCCCGGAACUUGCCUGUUUGGCUCCCCAACCAGGACGAGCCCCUUCCUGGCAGCAGCUGUGCCAUCCGAGUUGGGGAUAAAGUCCCCUAUGACAUCUGCCUGCCAGACCACUCAGUGUUGACCCUGCAGCUGCCUGUGACAGCGUCUGUGAGAGAGGUGAUGGCGGCGUUGGCUCAGGAGGAUGGCUGGACCAAGGGGCAGGUGCUGGUGAAGGUCAAUUCUGCAGGUGCGUGGCUGUGUGGGCACAUGUACCUGUGUAUUCUGAGCACCCGCCCAGGACUUCAACCCCGCUACGAGGAGAAACAACCUCCCAGCCUCCCAAACAUCUCUUCCACCCUGUCCUCCAGCUGGUCCCUGGCCUCCCUCCCUUCCCCCAGCCAGGCCGCCACUGCUGUCUUUGCAGAUGCCAUUGGCCUGCAGCCAGAUGCCCGUGGUGUGGCCACAUCUCUGGGGCUCAAUGAGCGGCUCUUUGUUGUCAACCCACAGGAAGUGCAUGAGCUGACCCCACACCCUGACCAGCUGGGGCCCACUGUGGGCUCUGCUGAGGGGCUGGACCUGGUGAGUGCCAAGGACCUGGCAGGCCAGCUGACGGACCACGACUGGAGCCUCUUCAACAGCAUCCACCAGGUGGAGCUAAUUUACUAUGCGCUGGGCCCCCAGCAUCUGCGGGAUGUCACCACCGCCAACCUGGAGCGCUUCAUGCGCCGCUUCAACGAGCUGCAGUACUGGGUGGCCACCGAGCUGUGUCUCUGCCCGGUGCCCGGCCCCCGGGCCCAGCUGCUCAGGAAGUUCAUUAAGCUGGCAGCCCACCUCAAGGAGCAGAAGAAUCUCAAUUCCUUCUUUGCCGUCAUGUUUGGCCUCAGCAACUCGGCCAUCAGCCGCCUAGCCCACACCUGGGAGCGGCUGCCGCACAAAGUCCGGAAGCUGUACUCCGCCCUCGAGAGGCUGCUGGAUCCCUCAUGGAACCACCGGGUGUACCGACUGGCCCUCCCCAGGAUCCCUGAACCACCGGGUGUACCGACUGGCCCCAAGCUCUCCCCUCCUAUCAUCCCUCUAUGCCCUCCUUCUCAAAGACAUGACCUUCAUUCAUGAGGGAAACCACACACUAGUGGAGAACCUCAUCAACUUUGAGAAGAUGAGAAUGAUGGCCAGAGCCGCGCGGAUGCUGCACCACUGCCGAAGCCACAACCCUGUGCCUCUCUCACCACUCAGAAGCCGAGUUUCCCACCUCCACGAGGACAGCCAGGUGGCGAGAAUUUCCACAUGCUCGGAGCAGUCCCUGAGCACCCGGAGUCCAGCCAGCACCUGGGCUUAUGUCCAGCAGCUGAAGGUCAUCGACAACCAGCGGGAACUCUCCCGCCUCUCCCGAGAGCUGGAGCCAUGAGGAGGGGCUGGGACUAGAGCUGGAGCAGGCACUUGUGGUCUGGAAAGCCAGGGCGUGCCGGGCCAAGAUACCCACAGGCUGGCCACAGCUGAGCAGGGCUCUCUGUGCAGUGGACUCGAGUCCGUGGAGCAGGCAGCGUGGAGGCAGCCGUCCCCUGAGAUGACUGGCAGCUAAGGAGGACCUCGGAGUGGACCCAAGCCGGGAAUAAGGAAUGACCCAAGGCCAAGGAAAGGGGGACAGAGAGGCCCCAGGAGGGGGUGGAGAGUGGAGUGCGCUGGGAUGUUGUGUGCAAUAGAGAGCUCUCCACACCAGGUGUUUUCCAGAUUCUGUGCCUCUGGCUUUGUUGUCCAGCCAGGCCUGCAGUUUGUUUUCACAGUGGACACAGAGAGAGAGAGGCUGCAUGUGUGUACCGUGUGUGGCAAGGGCAGGGCCUUGGCCUCGGGCAGGGGCCCCCUGCUUUCUUUCUACAGCAUCUGAGAUAAACAUCGGGCAGUGGGGCUUGGGGCUGCGAGCCUG